This is an RNA transcript of Bombina bombina (fire-bellied toad), 606 nucleotides long. It is a transcript of the gene named lymphocyte antigen 6E-like, with no coding region annotated. Lineage: Eukaryota; Metazoa; Chordata; Amphibia; Anura; Bombinatoridae. The record is from RefSeq and is a predicted model, not a curated record. The transcript is spliced from 3 exons.
GGAUCUACUCUUCUUCCCGGAUAGGAUGAAGACUUUGGACCCUCUUCUGGACUUCUUCAGCCGUCGGACGAUGGAUGUCUAGCCCCCUCUUGGGUUGGAUGAAGAUAUCGGAGCCAGGACGGAUCGGUGAACCUGGUAUGGUGAAGACAAGCAUAUUCCUUAUCAUGUUACACAUGCACCAACGAGGGCAGCAACAGUAACUGCAUGACGGCCGUUAACUGUACUGCUGGAACUGACUCCUACUGCAAGACAUCUGUUCUGAGUGUUAAGUCUCCAGGUAGCUAUUCUAAAACCUCCAUCACUAAGGAAUGUGCCUCAGCCUGCACAGCACUCAAUGUGGAUCUUUCAUUGGCUUCUACUUCAGUCUCCUGCUGUAACACGAAUUUGUGCAACACCAGUGGUGCCUCCAGUGUGAAAUCCAGCUCUGGCAUCCUCGCUCUGUCUGUGGGGCUCUUCCUGGCUCUGCUGGGGAAAUCCUCUCUCUGAUGUGCAGGACAACGGCCCCGAGGAUCCAGCAUUUAGUUCUCCAACAAGUUGUCAGAUAUCAUUUAGAUUAUAUUAUCUAUUGGUUUUAAUCAAUAAAAAUAUAAUUAAAACAUAAAUAAA